Molecule: long non-coding RNA, 1440 nt
Organism: Pseudopipra pipra
Lineage: Eukaryota; Metazoa; Chordata; Aves; Passeriformes; Pipridae
Exons: 3
Source: RefSeq, a predicted model, not a curated record
UAUUUAAAAAAAAACAACCUUCUCAUCUGAAAAGUCAAAGGCCUUUUUUUAAACACUAACAACUUCUUAAGGAACCAUUCAUUGACACAGAUCUGAGGGGGCUCAGGAAGGAAUUAAGUUAUGAAUACAUGCAAGAGACUUUAAAAACACAAAUAGCCCUGAGCCAAGAUUCACAGAGCAAAUAUUGCAAAUGUGCUCCCUAUAAUCUGUAGCUUCUAACAGGGCCAGGAAGAGGCAUUUCCCAGGUUCCCUCUUGCAGCCACACUGGGCAUAAAUCAGGGGAGUAAAAAUGGCUUGUUUGUGCUCCUUUUUGCAGCAGUGACUGAUGUUUUAUAUUGCACUGAUCAUUAAGCAAAAGGUGCCAGAGGUGGAUCUCAUAAAAAGAAGUAACAGGGAUGUAUUUUUUUCCACUGUGGAACAAAUCCAGAUAAUUUAAAACCCCACAUGUUGCUUGCACCUGCCACAUGGAGCUUCAUGACCAAGCAGAAGAAGCCAUUUGUAAUUGGCAUUAGAGCUCAUUAGAGCAGCAUUUGUUCUCCUCUUCUUUCAGGGAUUUGGACCCUAAAUCCCAGGGCUUUAGUUAAACCUCUCUGAGAGAUUCCCUCUUGUCUCCUGAGCCACUUCUGACCUGUCCCUUUAACCUCUCUCUGUAGUCAAGUGUGAUUUUUCCCUCGUGCAGAGGAGAUAAUCUUGGUGGCUGCUGCUGAUCUCAUUCUCACACAGCUCUCUGACCACCACACACCAAAGAUUCCCAGGGUUAUUUUAUUUUUUAAUAAUUAACUGACAAACAAAUUUAGCCACGUUCUGCUGUAUCACACUUCCAGAUUACAUCUGUUGUUUCUUUGAGCUCUCACAUCUUUUAGAAGGCUGCUCAGGGACCAGUUUGGAGCAGGAUGCUGCCAAUAACAGACCACAAGAGUAGACAGGAGCUGAGAUGCUGCAAUCCAGUCCUUAUUUAGUUAGGUUUUCACACCAGAAUUUCUUGUUGUUUUCUUUUCCUAGUUCAGCUUUAAUGUUGGUCCAUGUUAUCAGCUGCACACAGUAUAUUUGCUUCCCUUCUUGAUUCCAGGAGGGAUGAAUUGCUGCUGGAUUGACAGAAACAUGCUGUAGGAUCUUCCAGGUGGGCUCCCCUUGCCAGUGUGUGCUACAAAUCCCCACAUCACAUGGAAAAUUAUCUCAGCUGGAGUGCCAACCCAGGGAAAGAACUUUGAACUCAGACCUGGUCAAGAGUUAUUUGAAAUGACUGCAGCAACUGUUGGUGAGUUUCUACUGCAUUUAGAUUAAAAAAAAAGAAAAAGACAAAAAAGUAAUUAGACAACCAUUUUAUUGAAGUCAAUAAGGCCAUUCUUGGCAUGAAGUGUUACUUAGGAUUAAAGAUAGCAGAUGUCUGCCUUAAGUCACAGUCUCCUAUUAAAUACUUCACAUGAGUACCAAAUAUUG